This is a long non-coding RNA of Empidonax traillii (willow flycatcher), 1198 nucleotides long. RefSeq lists it as uncharacterized. The transcript is spliced from 3 exons. Lineage: Eukaryota; Metazoa; Chordata; Aves; Passeriformes; Tyrannidae. The record is from RefSeq and is a predicted model, not a curated record.
GUUAGUUCCAUUGUACCGAAAAAGUACUCUUUUCACAAUUUCUUUAUACUACCAUGGCCUUGAACCGGGUUUGUGUGACAAGGUUUUGGCAGAGCGGGGCUACAGGGACGGCUCUUGUGACAGGCGGCCAGAAGCUUCCCACAUGUCCAAAGGAGCAAUGCCAUAAUCCUGUUUACAGAAGUAAAUGUGAGACUGCAGCUGGAAAAAGCAAGGAGUCUGGCAGCAGGAUUUGCCGAAAAAAAAAUAUUUCCUGUAGCUCAGAAUGAGUAAACAUGAGUAGCAUAUAUUAAAGCAGUGGUCUAAAUCAGUCAUGAAAAUAAAUCAAAUCAGUGAACAGAAAACUUUGAUUUAAAUGAUUGUUUAUAAUCCUGAAUUAUAGUUGUAUUGUUUCUCAAAGACUGAUUUUUCACUGAUUGGUAACCACUAAAAUGUGCUGACUAUAAUCUUUAUUCAUAACCUAGCAUUUCUUUUUGCUAACAAAGAGAGCAUGUUAUAGCAGCAUACAUCUAAGACAUUUCAGACUUUAACAUAACAUUUAUAUCAAUUCUUAAUUUUUAUACACAUUUCACUAUUUUGGAAGAUGAGGUCUGUUUCGUUUCUUUUUUUGCUAAGUAAUUCUUGCACCUCUAUUUGUGAUUCACAUGAGACUCCUAGUGGAAAAAUAUAGGAAUUGAAAGAAAACAAUGAGGGAAAAAAAUCUCUUUGUAGUUGCUUUUAGUUAAAUAAGAUUAUCAUAAAUGUAUUUGUACCUUAUUCUUAAGAAGGUUGUCUAAGUAUGCUUUGCACUGAGAAAGAUUAUGUUUAAACUUGUAGGAAUAUAGUUUAAUUGAUUUGAACACUCAGUCUUUCAAAUGUGUAGAACUAGUAGAGAUCAUCUUGUCAUCUCCAGCUCUUAUUUUAUUUAUGGAUGAAAAUAAUGAAAAAAAAAUUCAGCUGGGAUAAUUCAUUUAAGUGAGCUGGCUAAAUAAACAGAAAUGAAGGAAAUACUGCCACCUUGCUUGCAGAAAAAGAUACUUGCCAAAAAAUGGUUCCACACUUCAGCAAACCGAGAUUAAUCCUUCAGCAGCUUGAACAGAAAAGACCUAGAGAAGUCACCAGGGAGGAACGAUUUUUUUUCCUUACAUUUAAAAUCAAGCACGAAGUCAGGAUCUUCUAGAAACCAGCUCUAGCCUUCUGGUGCCUGAGCUGUUCUCAGCCC